RNAcentral lists this transfer RNA (72 nucleotides) under Camelus bactrianus (Bactrian camel). It matches the Rfam family "tRNA". From Rfam's summary of the family: Transfer RNA (tRNA) molecules are approximately 80 nucleotides in length. Their secondary structure includes four short double-helical elements and three loops (D, anti-codon, and T loops). The record is from Rfam by way of RNAcentral. RNAcentral also lists the same sequence under 2 other names. Lineage: Eukaryota; Metazoa; Chordata; Mammalia; Artiodactyla; Camelidae.
GGGGGUAUAGCUCAGUGGUAGAGUGCAUGCCUAGCAUGCACAAGGUCCUAGGUUCAAUCCCCAGGACCUCCA